RNAcentral lists this ribosomal RNA (247 nucleotides) under uncultured bacterium. RNAcentral describes it as "partial 16S ribosomal RNA". It matches the Rfam family "Bacterial small subunit ribosomal RNA", at positions 57 to 305 of the family's 1533-position model. The record is from RNAcentral.
GCAAGUCGAACGCGAACGGCUCUUCGGAGCUAAGUAGAGUGGCGGACGGGUGAGUAACGCGUAGGAAUCUACCUAUUAGUGGGGGAUAACAUGGAGAAAUUCAUGCUAAUACCGCAUGUGCCCUACGGGGUAAAGAGGGCCUCUUCUUGAAAGCUCUUGCUAGUAGAUGAGCCUGCGUCGGAUUAGCUUGUUGGUGGGGUAAUGGCCUACCAAGGCGACGAUCCGUAGCCGGCCUGAGAGGGUGAAC